CCUACGUGAGGCAGCAGUGAGGAAUAUUGGUCAAUGGGCGCGAGCCUGAACCAGCCAAGUCGCGUGAGGGAAGACGGUCCUAUGGAUUGUACACCUCUUUUGUAGGGGAGCAAAAGACGCCACGCGUGGCGUUCCGAGAGUACCCGAAGAAAAAGCAUCGGCUCACUCCGUGCCAGCGGCCGCGGUAAUACGGAGGAUGCGAGCGUUCUCCGGAUGUAUUGGGUUUAAAGGGUGCGCAGGCGGAAGAUCAAGUCAGCGGUAAAAUUGAGAGGCUCAACCUCUUCGGGCCGUUGAACCUGGUUGUCUUGAGUGAGCGAGAGGUAUGCGGAAGGCGUGGUGUAGCGGUGAAAUGCAUAGAUAUCACGCAGAACUCCGAUUGCGAAGGCAGCAUACCGGCGCUCAACUGACGCUCAUGCACGAAAGUGUGGGUAUCGAACAGGAUUAGAUACCCCAGUAGUC
RNAcentral lists this ribosomal RNA (459 nucleotides) under uncultured bacterium. Its description in RNAcentral is "partial 16S ribosomal RNA". It matches the Rfam family "Bacterial small subunit ribosomal RNA", at positions 338 to 795 of the family's 1533-position model. The record is from RNAcentral.